RNAcentral lists this transfer RNA (72 nucleotides) under Bos taurus (domestic cattle). It matches the Rfam family "tRNA". From Rfam's summary of the family: Transfer RNA (tRNA) molecules are approximately 80 nucleotides in length. Their secondary structure includes four short double-helical elements and three loops (D, anti-codon, and T loops). Lineage: Eukaryota; Metazoa; Chordata; Mammalia; Artiodactyla; Bovidae. The record is from Rfam by way of RNAcentral.
UCCCAGGUGGCUCAGAUGGUAAAGAGUCUCCCUGCAACGCAGGAGACCCAGGUUCGAUCCCUGGGUUGGGAA